RNAcentral lists this ribosomal RNA (253 nucleotides) under uncultured bacterium. RNAcentral's name for it is "partial 16S ribosomal RNA". It matches the Rfam family "Bacterial small subunit ribosomal RNA", at positions 524 to 776 of the family's 1533-position model. The record is from RNAcentral.
UACGUAGGGUGCAAGCGUUAAUCGGAAUUACUGGGCGUAAAGCGUGCGCAGGCGGUUCGCUAAGGCAGAUGUGAAAUCCCCGGGCCUAACCUGGGAACUGCAUUUGUGACUGGCGGGCUAGAGUAUGGCAGAGGGGGGUAGAAUUCCACGUGUAGCAGUGAAAUGCGUAGAGAUGUGGAGGAAUACCGAUGGCGAAGGCAGCCCCCUGGGCCAAUACUGACGCUCAUGCACGAAAGCGUGGGGAGCAAACAGG